GACAGAGGGUGCAAACGUUGCUCGGAAUCACUGGGCGUAAAGGGCGUGUAGGCGGGAAGGAAAGUCAGAUGUGAAAUCCCCAGGCUCAACCUGGGAACUGCAUUUGAAACUCCCUUUCUUGAGUACCGGAGAGGAAAGUGGAAUUCCUGGUGUAGAGGUGAAAUUCGUAGAUAUCAGGAGGAACACCAGUGGCGAAGGCGGCUUUCUGGACGGUAACUGACGCUGAGACGCGAAAGCGUGGGAGCAAACAGG
This 252-nucleotide ribosomal RNA is filed under the name uncultured bacterium. RNAcentral's name for it is "partial 16S ribosomal RNA". It matches the Rfam family "Bacterial small subunit ribosomal RNA", at positions 524 to 776 of the family's 1533-position model. The record is from RNAcentral.